AACGAACGCUGGCGGCAUGCCUAACACAUGCAAGUCGAACGAGACCUUCGGGUCUAGUGGCGCACGGGUGCGUAACGCGUGGGAACCUGCCCUUAGGUUCGGAAUAACUCCCCGAAAGGGGUGCUAAUACCGGUUAAUGUCUUCGGACCAAAGAUUUAUCGCCGUUGGAUGGGCCCGGGUUGGAUUAGCUAGUUGGUAGGGUAAAAGCCUACCAAGGCGACGAUGCAUAGCUGGUCUGAGAGGAUGAUCAGCCACACUGGGACUGAGACACGGCCCAGACUCCUACGGGAGGCAGCAGUGGGGAAUAUUGGACAAUGGGCGAAAGCCUGAUCCAGCAAUGCCGCGUGAGUGAUGAAGGCCUUAGGGUUGUAAAGCUCUUUUACCCGGGAUGAUAAUGACAGUACCGGGAGAAUAAGCUCCGGCUAACUCCGUG
RNAcentral lists this ribosomal RNA (433 nucleotides) under uncultured bacterium. Its description in RNAcentral is "partial 16S ribosomal RNA". It matches the Rfam family "Bacterial small subunit ribosomal RNA", at positions 29 to 507 of the family's 1533-position model. The record is from RNAcentral.